This 450-nucleotide ribosomal RNA is filed under the name uncultured organism. RNAcentral's name for it is "partial 16S ribosomal RNA". It matches the Rfam family "Bacterial small subunit ribosomal RNA", at positions 335 to 801 of the family's 1533-position model. The record is from RNAcentral.
ACUCCUACGGGAGGCAGCAGUGGGGAAUAUUGGACACUGGGCGCAAGCCUGAUCCAGCCAUGCCGCGUGAGUGAUGAAGGCCCUAGGGUUGUAAAGCUCUUUUGUGCGGGACGAUAAUGACGGUACCGCAAGAAUAAGCCCCGGCUAACUUCGUGCCAGCAGCCGCGGUAAUACGAAGGGGGCUAGCGUUGCUCGGAAUCACUGGGCGUAAAGGGUGCGUAGGCGGGUCUUGAAGUCAGGGGUGAAAUCCUGGAGCUCAACUCCAGAACUGCCUUUGAUACUGAAGAUCUUGAGUUCGGGAGAGGUGAGUGGAACUGCGAGUGUAGAGGUGAAAUUCGUAGAUAUUCGCAAGAACACCAGUGGCGAAGGCGGCUCACUGGCCCGAUACUGACGCUGAGGCACGAAAGCGUGGGGAGCAAACAGGAUUAGAUACCCUUGUAGUCCCAUGAU